AACGGUCUAUACCUGCGGUACCUGCGGAGGGAUCAUUACAGAGUUCUUGCCCUGCUGGGGUAGGUCUCCCAACCUUUGUGAUUUCUGCCGUCGUUGCUUUGGCGGGCCGCCCUCACGGCCACGCGUGCCCGCCAGAGGCCUCGCAGACCCUGACCGUGUGUGUCGUCUGAGCACUGUCUAAUAGAUUAAAACUUUCAGCAACGGAUCUCU
RNAcentral lists this unclassified non-coding RNA (210 nucleotides) under soil metagenome. Its description in RNAcentral is "partial contains 5.8S ribosomal RNA, internal transcribed spacer 2, and large subunit ribosomal RNA". The record is from RNAcentral.